Molecule: ribosomal RNA, 486 nt
Filed under: uncultured bacterium
Lineage: Bacteria
Description: bacterial SSU rRNA
Rfam family: Bacterial small subunit ribosomal RNA
Source: RNAcentral
GAUGAACGCUAGCUACAGGCUUAACACAUGCAAGUCGAGGGGCAGCAUUACGGUAGCUUGCUACUGUAGAUGGCGACCGGCGCACGGGUGAGUAACGCGUAUCCAACCUGCCCAUGACUUGGGGAUAACCUUGCGAAAGCAAGCCUAAUACCCGAUACGCUUCAUAGACGGCAUCUGAAAUGAAGUAAAGGUUUACGGUUAUGGAUGGGGAUGCGUCCGAUUAGCUUGUUGGCGGGGUAACGGCCCACCAAGGCAUCGAUCGGUAGGGGUUCUGAGAGGAAGGUCCCCCANAUUGGAACUGAGACACGGUCCAAAACUCCUACGGGAGGCAGCAGUGAGGAAUAUUGGUCCAAUGGAGGCAACUCUGAACCAGCCAAGUAGCGUGCAGGAUGACGGCCCUAUGGGUUGUAAACUGCUUUUAUGCGGGGAUAAAUUGACUCACGUGUGGGUCAUUGCAGGUACCGCAUGAAUAAGGACCGGCUAAUU